AUUGAACGCUGGCGGCAGGCCUAACACAUGCAAGUCGAACGGUAACAGGAAGAAGCUUGCUUCUUUGCUGACGAGUGGCGGACGGGUGAGUAAUGUCUGGGAAACUGCCUGAUGGAGGGGGAUAACUACUGGAAACGGUAGCUAAUACCGCAUAACGUCGCAAGACCAAAGAGGGGGACCUUCGGGCCUCUUGCCAUCGGAUGUGCCCAGAUGGGAUUAGCUAGUAGGUGGGGUAACGGCUCACCUAGGCGACGAUCCCUAGCUGGUCUGAGAGGAUGACCAGCCACACUGGAACUGAGACACGGUCCCGACUCCUACGGGAGGCAGCAGUGGGGAAUAUUGCACAAUGGGCGCAAGCCUGAUGCAGCCAUGCCGCGUGUAUGAAGAAGGCCUUCGGGUUGUAAAGUACUUUCGGCGGGGAGGAAGGGAGUAAAGUUAAUACCUUUACUCAUUGACGUUACCCGCAGAAGAAGCACCGGCUAACUCCGUG
Molecule: ribosomal RNA, 490 nt
Filed under: uncultured bacterium
Lineage: Bacteria
Description: partial 16S ribosomal RNA
Rfam family: Bacterial small subunit ribosomal RNA
Source: RNAcentral